This 238-nucleotide non-coding RNA is filed under the name Clostridiales bacterium. RNAcentral describes it as "T-box sequence". It matches the Rfam family "T-box leader". Rfam says of the family: Uncharged tRNA acts as the effector for transcription antitermination of genes in the T-box leader family. T-boxes are found upstream of many aminoacyl-tRNA synthetase genes and some amino acid biosynthetic genes usually in Gram-positive bacteria. The anticodon of a specific tRNA base pairs to a specifier sequence within the T-box motif, and the NCCA acceptor tail of the tRNA base pairs to a conserved bulge in the T-box antiterminator hairpin. Lineage: Bacteria; Bacillati; Bacillota; Clostridia; Eubacteriales. The record is from RNAcentral.
GAAAAAGCGUUGAAAAGAUGAGUAGUUUUGGAUAGACUUAUAGAGAGCUUUGGAUGGUGGAAGCAAAGCAGCCCUAACAAAAUGAAAAAAGCCUUGGAGCUUCAUUACAAGCCUGUUGUCAGGGGAUCUAAUGACGUAUGCUUGCGUUAAAAGCUAGAGUAUGAUGGUACUCGAUGAGGUUUUCUAAGUGAUUAGAAGACGAAACCAGGGUGGUAACACGUGAUCUCUCGUCCCUAGA